This 359-nucleotide RNase P RNA is filed under the name Spirochaetia bacterium. RNAcentral's name for it is "RNase P RNA component class A". It matches the Rfam family "Bacterial RNase P class A". From Rfam's summary of the family: Ribonuclease P (RNase P) is a ubiquitous endoribonuclease, found in archaea, bacteria and eukarya as well as chloroplasts and mitochondria. Its best characterised activity is the generation of mature 5'-ends of tRNAs by cleaving the 5'-leader elements of precursor-tRNAs. The record is from RNAcentral. Lineage: Bacteria; Pseudomonadati; Spirochaetota; Spirochaetia.
GGGGCGCACCGGAUCAUCGCGCGGCCCGGGAAACCGGGAGUGAGGAAAGUCCGGACACCGAAGGGCGCAUGACCGGGUAAUUCCCGGGCGCAUGUUUCCAAAGAUUCAUGUGACGGAAAGUGCAGCAGAAAAGAUACCGCCCGAAAGGGUAAGGGUGAAAUGGCGGGGUAAAAGCCCACCGCGCAGACGGCAACGUCUGCGGCACGGUAAACCCUCAUGGGUGCAAUCCCGAGUAAGCAGCCGAUUGAAGCCGGCCCGGCUGAGGCUGCGGGUGGGGAGCAAAAAACGGCGAAAGUAAUUACGCAGUUAAGAUAAAUGAUGGUCCUCGACAGAAUCCGGCUUACAGGUGCGCCCCGCCC